Long non-coding RNA from Bombyx mori (domestic silkworm), 1493 nucleotides. RefSeq lists it as uncharacterized. The record is from RefSeq and is a predicted model, not a curated record. The transcript is spliced from 2 exons. Lineage: Eukaryota; Metazoa; Arthropoda; Insecta; Lepidoptera; Bombycidae.
ACUUGAGAUGACGACCAUGUAAAAGUAUAAAGAAAGUGUAUAGAUUGUCGAAGGAUCAUAUGAACCAGUUAGGGUGUGAAUUACACCCUUUGAUGAAGACCACUAAAAGCCAUUGAAAAGGACUUUCAACUCUUAUAAAGUUUCAGUUAUUGUGCACCUUGUUAUUUUUGGCCAAUUGAAGUUACCAAAAAAAUCAUAAAAGAAAAUAUAAGAACAUAUUUGUCCCAGACAUCCCAGUGUAUAUCUGAGGUUGUGGAGGCUCUGAACAACCCAGCAACUAUAUAUAAAUAUUUAAGAUUCCCACAGAAUGCUCAAGAAUGGCAAAAGUUGAAGGAAAAGCAAAGAAAAAAGAAGGUGGUUUAAGCUAAAUAAAAGAAUGUUUACUUCAUAAAAAAUUACCAAUAUUAAUGAAAUGCUAAAUAUUGCAGUUUUUAUGAAAAAUUUAGAAUCCUUUGGGUUAUUGGGUGUAUUGAUGGGAAGUUGAUGGCCUUAAAAAGAUCUGCUACCAAUAAAAAAUGGUUUUACUGUCGCAAAGAAUAUCAUGCAAGAAAUGUACAAUUUGUAAAGCUAUUAAUAUUUUUCGAAAUUCUGAUAUGUAAUCCAUAAACGAAAUGUGUAUUAAGAACCUAUCUAUUCAGAUUGUAUUCAUUUCAGUUAAAUUGUAAUUGUGUAUAUUGCUAUAAGUUAUUGUGAAAUUUAGUAUUUAUCUUAAAUAAACUUUAUUCAGUUAUAAUCAAAACAAAAUAAAAUUUAGUCAAUGACAGCAAGUAAUGACCAUUAUAAUUAUUUAACAUCUUUUCGGGCCUUCUGUAUAUUGUCAACGUUCCAACCUUAUGACACCUUUUGCUAAUUUUUUUUUCAUUGCUUAGAUCGGUGGACGAGCUCCCAGCCCACCUGGUGUUAAAUGGUUACUGGAGCCCAUAGACAUCUACAACGUAAAUGUGUAUGGACUCCAAUAUCUACAAGGUCCUACCACCAGUAAUUAUACAAAUUAUACCACCCACCCACCUUGAGAUAUAAAUUCUAAGGUCUCAGUAUAGUUACAACAGCUGCCCCACCCUUCAAACUGAAACGCAUUACUGCUUCACGGCAGAAAUAGGCGAUAACGCUAUGCUAUGCUAGCUAAUACCUGCUAAUAAUAGCUAGCUAUUGCUAAUAUGGAGGAAGAUACUCCUGAAGCUUUGUAGCACCGCCUUCAUUCCACUGCCCGUAACUCAGUGGAAAGAACAAUAGGUAUAUUAAAGAGUAGAUUCAGGUGUUUGCUGAUCUACAGGGUGCCAAUUUACCACCCUGAUAAGGUAGCAAAAAUUGUUGUUGCGUGUUGUGUUUUGCACAACAUUUUCAAUUGUGCAGAGCUGCCAGUUCCCAUGAUUUCAGAUGAUGAGAUUACAUGUACAUUAUGGUGGUCAUGUUGAAUUACUUUGUUAAAUUCUACUAAUUAGCUAACUUAUAGUGUGAAGUAACUUCAAAUAUAAAUUAAUGAUUUAUAAAAA